This 374-nucleotide ribosomal RNA is filed under the name uncultured bacterium. RNAcentral's name for it is "bacterial SSU rRNA". It matches the Rfam family "Bacterial small subunit ribosomal RNA", at positions 28 to 402 of the family's 1533-position model. The record is from RNAcentral.
GACGAACGCUGGCGGCGUGCUUAACACAUGCAAGUCGAGCGGUAAGGCCCUUUCGGGGGUACACGAGCGGCGAACGGGUGAGUAACACGUGGGUGACCUGCCCUUAGCUCUGGGAUAAGCCUGGGAAGCUGGGUCUAAUACCGGAUAUGACUCCAUGACGCAUGUUGUGGGGUGGAAAGCCUUGUGCGGCUAGGGGAUGGGCCUGCGGCCUAUCAGCUUGUUGGUGGGGUGANGGCCUACCAAGGCGACGACGGGUAGCCGGCCUGAGAGGGCGACCGGCCACACUGGGACUGAGACACGGCCCAGACUCCUACGGGAGGCAGCAGUGGGGAAUCUUGCGCAAUGGGCGAAAGCCUGACGCAGCGACGCCGCGU